GCUACCAUGCAGUCGACGGUAACAGGAAGCAGCUUGCUGCUUCGCUGACGAGUGGCGGACGGGUGAGUAAUGUCUGGGAAACUGCCCGAUGGAGGGGGAUAACUACUGGAAACGGUAGCUAAUACCGCAUAACGUCGCAAGACCAAAGAGGGGGACCUUCGGGCCUCUUGCCAUCGGAUGUGCCCAGAUGGGAUUAGCUUGUUGGUGAGGUAACGGCUCACCAAGGCGACGAUCCCUAGCUGGUCUGAGAGGAUGACCAGCCACACUGGAACUGAGACACGGUCCAGACUCCUACGGGAGGCAGCAGUGGGGAAUAUUGCACAAUGGGCGCAAGCCUGAUGCAGCCAUGCCGCGUGUAUGAAGAAGGCCUUCGGGUUGUAAAGUACUUUCAGCGGGGAGGAAGGUGUUGUGGUUAAUAACCGCAGCAAUUGACGUUACCCGCAGAAGAAGCACCGGCUAACUCCGUGCCAGCAGCCGCGGUAAUACGGAGGGUGCAAGCGUUAAUCGGAAUUACUGGGCGUAAAGCGCACGCAGGCGGUCUGUCAAGUCGGAUGUGAAAUCCCCGGGCUCAACCUGGGAACUGCAUUCGAAACUGGCAGGCUUGAGUCUCGUAGAGGGGGGUAGAAUUCCAGGUGUAGCGGUGAAAUGCGUAGAGAUCUGGAGGAAUACCGGUGGCGAAGGCGGCCCCCUGGACGAAGACUGACGCUCAGGUGCGAAAGCGUGGGGAGCAAACAGGAUUAGAUACCCUGGUAGUCCACGCCGUAAACGAUGUCUAUUUGGAGGUUGUUCCCUUGAGGAGUGGCUUCCGGAGCUAACGCGUUAAAUAGACCGCCUGGGGAGUACGGCCGCAAGGUUAAAACUCAAAUGAAUUGACGGGGGCCCGCACAAGCGGUGGAGCAUGUGGUUUAAUUCGAUGCAACGCGAAGAACCUUACCUGGUCUUGACAUCCACAGAACUUUCCAGAGAUGGAUUGGUGCCUUCGGGAACUGUGAGACAGGUGCUGCAUGGCUGUCGUCAGCUCGUGUUGUGAAAUGUUGGGUUAAGUCCCGCAACGAGCGCAACCCUUAUCCUUUGUUGCCAGCGGUCCGGCCGGGAACUCAAAGGAGACUGCCAGUGAUAAACUGGAGGAAGGUGGGGAUGACGUCAAGUCAUCAUGGCCCUUACGACCAGGGCUACACACGUGCUACAAUGGCAUAUACAAAGAGAAGCGACCUCGCGAGAGUAAGCGGACCUCAUAAAGUAUGUCGUAGUCCGGAUUGGAGUCUGCAACUCGACUCCAUGAAGUCGGAAUCGCUAGUAAUCGUGGAUCAGAAUGCCACGGUGAAUACGUUCCCGGGCCUUGUACACACCGCCCGUCACACCAUGGGAGUGGGUUGCAAAAGAAGUAGGUAGCUUAACCUUCGGGAGGGCGCUACCACUUGAUCCG
This 1426-nucleotide ribosomal RNA is filed under the name Citrobacter farmeri. RNAcentral's name for it is "bacterial SSU rRNA". It matches the Rfam family "Bacterial small subunit ribosomal RNA". Lineage: Bacteria; Pseudomonadati; Pseudomonadota; Gammaproteobacteria; Enterobacterales; Enterobacteriaceae. The record is from RNAcentral.